This is a long non-coding RNA of Mauremys mutica (yellowpond turtle), 312 nucleotides long. RefSeq lists it as uncharacterized. Lineage: Eukaryota; Metazoa; Chordata; Testudines; Geoemydidae. The transcript has 3 exons. The record is from RefSeq and is a predicted model, not a curated record.
CCUGAAGAGGCUGGGGGGCAACUGUUGCCAGGCAACGAGCUCGCCUAGCAACACAGCAGCGAGCCUGGGAGGCGUCUUAAAGGGGCGCAGCAUGCGAGCAGCACGGAAAGGUUGCUCUGGAGCGCCCGUGGGAGAUAGGGGGCCCACCCAAUGCCUGGUGGGAGGCAGCAGAACUCAUGCCCAACGUCAGAAACAGAUGCUGCCAAAUAUCCCCGGUCAUGAGCAAAAGCAGUUUGAAGGAGGUCAGUACCAUCUUUGUUUUACAGAUGGGGGAAACUGAGGCAGAGAGAGAAGAAGUGACUUAUCCAUGGC